GGAUGCUCUGAAGACCUGCUCUCUAGGCUACGCACGGAGGACGAUAGUUCCUCAAGGGCCUCCGCGCCCGCCUAGGGGAAAGUCCCCGGACCGCCGGCAGAGAGUGCCGGGCGCUCUCGCGCCCUGUCCCCCCCCCAUUCCCACAGCUGCCGCCAAGAUGCCUCCGGGCAGAGCGGGUGAUAGCGGGGUGGGUUCUCGUCACGGCCACAGAAACGCAGGUAGUGCAUGGGUGCACUAACAGAACGGGGCUCACUCUCAGGCCAUC
Molecule: RNase MRP RNA, 265 nt
Filed under: Dryobates pubescens (Downy woodpecker)
Lineage: Eukaryota; Metazoa; Chordata; Aves; Piciformes; Picidae
Description: Picoides pubescens (downy woodpecker) RNase MRP
Rfam family: RNase MRP
About the family: RNase MRP is an enzymatically active ribonucleoprotein with two distinct roles in eukaryotes. In mitochondria it plays a direct role in the initiation of mitochondrial DNA replication.
Source: Rfam by way of RNAcentral